This 1632-nucleotide long non-coding RNA is filed under the name Homo sapiens (human). Its description in RNAcentral is "non-protein coding lnc-GAA-2:1". The record is from RNAcentral. Lineage: Eukaryota; Metazoa; Chordata; Mammalia; Primates; Hominidae.
GUACAAUGUUGGAAUAGACGUGGCAAGAGCAUUCUUGUUUUGUUCCCAACCUUAGCGGGUAAUGCUGUGGUUUUUCAUCGAUGCUGUUUAUCAGGUUGAAGCAGCCCCCUUCCAUUCUUAUUUUCUAUCUUGAAAAGGUGCUGGAUUUUGUCCAAUGCUUUUUCUGCAUCUGUAAAUCAUUAUGUGGACUUUGUCCUUUAUUCUAUUGAUAGGGUGUAUUACAUUGACAGAUUUUUGGAUAUUAAACCAACUUUCCAUUCCUGCGAUAAAUCCCACUUUGUCAGUGUACAAUCCUUUUUAUAUGUUGCUGGAUUUGUUUUGCCAGUUUUUUGAGGAUUUUUACAUCUAUAUUCAUAUGAUAUUGAUCUAGUUUUUUUUGUGGUAGCUUUGUUUUGGUAUCAGGUAAUGCUGGCCUCAGGGUGAGUUGGGAAAUGUUCUGCCUUAUAUUUUUUGAAAGAUUUCGUGAUCCAGCACUUUGGGAAUCUGACGGGGGCAGAUCACAAGAUCAGGAGUUUGAGAUCAGCCCGGCCAACACAGUAAAACGCCGUCUCUACUAAAAAUACAAAAAAUUAACCAGAUGUGGUGGCAGGCACCUGUAAUCCUAGCUACUGGGAGGCUGAGGCAAGGGAAUCACUUGAACCCAGGAGGCGGAGGUUGCAGCAAGCCAAGAUUGUGCCACUGCACACCAGCCCAGGCAACAGUGUGAGACUCUGCGUCAAAAAAAAAAAAAAAUUGUGAUGGUGAUAAUUCUGUAAAAGUUUGGCAGGAUUCACAAGCCUUGGCUUUCCUUUGUUGAAAGUUUGGUUACUGAUUUAAUCUGUUUGUCCUAGGAAUUUCUCCAUUUUAUCAAGGUUCAUCUGUUGGCAAACAAUCCAUGGCACUGAUACUUUGUAUUCUGUACAGUCGGCUGUGCCAUCACCUCUUUCAUUCUUGAUUUUAGUUAUUUGAACCUAUUUUUCCUUAGACUUGCUAAAGAUGUGUCAAUUUUGUUGAUCUUUUCAAAGAAUGAACCGUUGGUUUUGUUGAUUUUCUCUAUUAUUUUUCUAUUCAUUUAUUUCUACUCUCAUCUUUAUUAUUUCCUUUCUUCUGCUUCCUUUGGGUUUAGCUUGCUUUUCUUUUAGUUUGAGGUGAGACAGACAAUCUGCAAUAAAUGUAAUUAUUGACACGGUUGUUUUCAACCUACUACCGUUUUGUAUUUGUCCAUCUCGUAAGUUCUCUGUUCCCUUUUCCUUCCUUUUCAGGAUUCUUAGAUUAAGUAUUCCUUAGAACUCUUAUUUUGUCUCCUACGUUGGCUGUUUAUUUCUGUUUCACAUUUUUGUAUUGCUUUAAAGGUUCAUACCUAAAAAUUGCUUAACACUUUUAUAUAUGUUUCACAUCUUUAAUUCAUCACAAUCUGCCUUCAAGUAAUAGUGUAAGAAUCUUGACAGUAUACUUCCAUUACUCCUUUCUUCGGUGCUGUGCUAUUUUCGUCAUACAUUUUAUGUCUAUGUAUUAUUUUAAACAAUCUUACUACAAAGAAACAUGCCAACAGCAUCAACAUUACCAUUCUAUUUCUAUACUUUAGACAUACCUCAAAGGGUCAGGACACUCUAGCUCUUGGUUAGAACCCUUUUUAUGUGGUUUUUCUUUUAG